AUUUCGGUAAGUUUGAUUUUGGCAUUGAGCUUGGGCAGCUUUAUGAUAUAAAUUUCUUUAUGUUUAUAAGUUUUGGCCUCGAUGAUAUUUGUAAUGGUCAUUAUUAUACUAUUGCUUUCUGUCCUUUUCUUUGAGAAUGUUUUAAAAUUGUGAUAUAAUUUCAGGGGAGAGCUUGAUAUCAGAAUGUUUGCUUGGCCUUUCAAAUGCAUAAUAUUGCUCUUUUUUCUUCUUUGUAGUGUCGAUUUUUAGAUUUUAGUGUCUCAACCUUCAUGAUCCUUGCUAAAUUCAUUCUCAUGGGCAUGUGCGCGCGCAUGGAGUGGGUGGGGGGUGAUGGAAUUUGGUUUAUAGACAUCAUGAAGCCUGGUUUUAAAGCCUAAUUUGGCUUAAUGCUGGGUACUAGUGUCCAAAUCCUAUCUUCAUGCAUAGAUGCUUAUAUUAACCAUUGGAAAAAGACUUUUAAAUUAGGGAAAAAAAACACUGGUAUGAAGUAGGAUUUCAUGUCAGAUUCAGUUUGUAGAAAAGUUCCACCAGACUAAACACCAGAGUGAAUUUAAAGUCGACCGUGUUGGAUCAAUUUUCCCAGGUUUAAGACUUUUUGCUAGAUGUUAAUGGUAUUAGAUGAGGCAAUUUCAAACACUAUUAUUACCAAAUUAGUAAUUUGCUCCAUAGAAUUCAAUCUGUAAGAAUUAGAUUUCAGGACACAAAUCAUUCCAGUUAAUGUUUAUCAUUGCAUGUCCUAUGAGCAAUUCAUUUCAUGUCUAAGCAACUUGUCCCCAAAGGGAUUGCUUCCUUGAUAUCCUUCACACCUUAAGGAUUCUUCACAUUUUCUCCUCCACAGCCAAUUAAAGGAAACAAUCCAGCAACAAAAUGCCUCUAAAUCGAUACCUACAAAACACAGAAAUCCAUUCACAUCAAAAACUAAAGCCAGAAAAUUUUAGAAACCCACACAAAGGUCAUCACCACACGGUAGAAACCCUAGGUUGGGGGGUUGGGAAGAGAGAUAGAACCUAUAACACAAUGAAUUCAAAUGAUCUGGUGGAGGAGCUAAGAGAUCAGUAGUGAUUUGGGAGACGGGAAUUGAUGUACUUGAGGCAUGAGUUCUUUUUCUAUAAUAUCUACAAUGUUAUGCAGGUAUUUGUUUGAGGUUUCUAAUUAAAAUUUUAUUUGUCGGUCAUUCAAGUUCAGUAUCAAGCAGUAUUCCUGAAACCCACAUGAGCAGUGUAUUUAACUCAACUCAACUAUGCCUGUAUCCUAAAAAUUUUGGGUCGGCUAUAUG
RNAcentral lists this unclassified non-coding RNA (1276 nucleotides) under Hevea brasiliensis (rubber tree). Lineage: Eukaryota; Viridiplantae; Streptophyta; Magnoliopsida; Malpighiales; Euphorbiaceae. The record is from RNAcentral.